RNAcentral lists this ribosomal RNA (449 nucleotides) under uncultured bacterium. Its description in RNAcentral is "bacterial SSU rRNA". It matches the Rfam family "Bacterial small subunit ribosomal RNA", at positions 352 to 793 of the family's 1533-position model. The record is from RNAcentral.
CAGUGGGGAAUAUUGCACAAUGGGCGCAAGCCUGAUGCAGCCAUGCCGCGUGUAUGAAGAAGGCCUUCGGGUUGUAAAGUACUUUCAGCAGUGAGGAAGGUGGGUAUGGUUAAUAGCAUACUCAUUUGACGUUAGCUGCAGAAGAAGCACCGGCUAACUCCGUGCCAGCAGCCGCGGUAAUACGGAGGGUGCGAGCGUUAAUCGGAAUUACUGGGCGUAAAGCGCAUGCAGGUGGUUUGUUAAGUCAGAUGUGAAAGCCCAGGGCUCAACCUCGGAAUUGCAUUUGAAACUGGCAAACUAGAGUACUGUAGAGGGGGUAGAAUUUCAGGUGUAGCGGUGAAAUGCGUAGAGAUCUGAAGGAAUACCGGUGGCGAAGGCGGCCCCCUGGACAGAUACUGACACUCAGAUGCGAAAGCGUGGGGAGCAAACAGGAUUAGAUACCCUGGUAG